CAGCAGCCGCGGUAAUACGAGGGGAGCUAGCGUUGUUCGGAAUUACUGGGCGUAAAGCGCGCGUAGGCGGCUUUUUAAGUCAGAGGUGAAAGCCCGGGGCUCAACCCCGGAAUUGCCUUUGAAACUGGAAAGCUAGAAUCUUGGAGAGGCCAGUGGAAUUCCGAGUGUAGAGGUGAAAUUCGUAGAUAUUCGGAAGAACACCAGUGGCGAAGGCGACUGACUGGACAAGUAUUGACGCUGAGGUGCGAAAGCGUGGGGAGCAAACAGGAUUAGAUACCCCUGUAGUCCCUGUCUCUUAUAC
RNAcentral lists this ribosomal RNA (301 nucleotides) under uncultured bacterium. RNAcentral describes it as "partial 16S ribosomal RNA". It matches the Rfam family "Bacterial small subunit ribosomal RNA", at positions 509 to 807 of the family's 1533-position model. The record is from RNAcentral.